This 497-nucleotide ribosomal RNA is filed under the name uncultured bacterium. RNAcentral's name for it is "partial 16S ribosomal RNA". It matches the Rfam family "Bacterial small subunit ribosomal RNA", at positions 28 to 507 of the family's 1533-position model. The record is from RNAcentral.
GAUGAACGCUGGCGGCGUGCCUAAUACAUGCAAGUCGAGCGAACGGACGAGAAGCUUGCUUCUCUGAUGUUGGCGGCGGACGGGUGAGUAACACGUGGAUAACCUACCUAUAAGACUGGGAUAACUUCGGGAAACCGUAGCUAAUACCGGAUAAUAUUUUGAACCGCAUGGUUCAAAAGUGAAAGACGGUCUUGCUGUCACUUAUAGAUGGAUCCGCGCUGCAUUAGCUAGUUGGUAAGGUAACGGCUUACCAAGGCAACGAUGCAUAGCCGACCUGAGAGGGUGAUCGGCCACACGGGAACUGAGACACGGUCCAGACUCCUACGGGAGGCAGCAGUAGGGAAUCUUCCGCAAUGGGCGAAAGCCUGACGGAGCAACGCCGCGUGAGUGAUGAAGGUCUUCGGAUCGUAAAACUCUGUUAUUAGGGAAGAACAUAUGUGUAAGUAACUGUGCACAUCUUGACGGUACCUAAUCAGAAAGCCACGGCUAACUACGUG